AACGAACGCUGGCGGCAUGCCUAACACAUGCAAGUCGAACGAGACCUUCGGGUCUAGUGGCGCACGGGUGCGUAACGCGUGGGAACCUGCCCUUAGGUUCGGAAUAACUCCCCGAAAGGGGUGCUAAUACCGGAUAAUGUCUUCGGACCAAAGAUUUAUCGCCUUUGGAUGGGCCCGCGUUGGAUUAGCUAGUUGGUAGGGUAAAAGCCUACCAAGGCGACGAUCCAUAGCUGGUCUGAGAGGAUGAUCAGCCACACUGGACUGAGACACGGCCCAGACUCCUACGGGAAGCAGCAGUGGGGAAUAUUGGACAAUGGGCGAAAGCCUGAUCCAGCAAUGCCGCGUGAGUGAUGAAGGCCUUAGGGUUGUAAAGCUCUUUUACCCGGGAUGAUAAUGACAGUACCGGGAGAAUAAGCUCCGGCUAACUCCGUG
This 432-nucleotide ribosomal RNA is filed under the name uncultured bacterium. RNAcentral describes it as "partial 16S ribosomal RNA". It matches the Rfam family "Bacterial small subunit ribosomal RNA", at positions 29 to 507 of the family's 1533-position model. The record is from RNAcentral.